UACAGAGGGUGCAAGCGUUGUUCGGAAUUAUUGGGCGUAAAGCGUGCGCAGGCGGCGCGUUAAGACAGGUGUGAAAGCCCCGAGCUUAACUUGGGAAUUGCGCUUGUGACUGGCGUGCUGGAGUGUGGCAGAGGGAGGUGGAAUUCACGUGUAGCAGUGAAAUGCGUAGAGAUGUGGAGGAACACCGAUGGCGAAGGCAGCCUCCUGGGCCAGCACUGACGCUCAUGCACGAAGCGU
Molecule: ribosomal RNA, 237 nt
Filed under: uncultured bacterium
Lineage: Bacteria
Description: partial 16S ribosomal RNA
Rfam family: Bacterial small subunit ribosomal RNA
Source: RNAcentral